Ictidomys tridecemlineatus (thirteen-lined ground squirrel) is the source of this 71-nucleotide non-coding RNA. NCBI's taxonomy places the organism in Eukaryota, Metazoa, Chordata, Mammalia, Rodentia, Sciuridae. The record is from Rfam.
GGGGCUGUAGCUCAGUGGCAGAGCGCUUGCCUGGCAUGCAUGAAGCACUGGGUUCGAGAUCCUUAGCACCA